CCUACGGGUGGCAGCAGUGGGGAAUAUUGCGCAAUGGGCGAAAGCCUGACGCAGCGACGCCGCGUGAGGGAUGAAGGUCUUCGGAUCGUAAACCUCUGUCAGCAGGGGAGAACGGUCACUGUGCUAAUCAGCAGUGAAUUGACGGUACCUGCAAAGGAAGCACCGGCUAACUCCGUGCCAGCCGCCGCGGUAAUACGGAGGAUGCGAGCUUUUUCCGGCUUUUGUGGGGUUGAAGGGGGCGUAGGCGGUCGGUUAAGUCAGCGGUAAACGCGCGGGGCUCAACCCCGGCGAGCCGUGGAAACUGGCUGUCUUGAGAUGUCGAGAGGGAUGCGGAAUGCGCAGUGUAGCGGUGAAAUGCGUAGAUAUUGCGCAGAACUCCGAGUGCGAAGGCAGGAUACCGGCGGCGAUCUGACGCUGAGGCACGAAAGCGUGGGGAUCGAACAGGAUUAGAUACCCGGGUAGUC
Molecule: ribosomal RNA, 464 nt
Filed under: uncultured bacterium
Lineage: Bacteria
Description: partial 16S ribosomal RNA
Rfam family: Bacterial small subunit ribosomal RNA
Source: RNAcentral